RNAcentral lists this small RNA (17 nucleotides) under Arabidopsis thaliana (thale cress). RNAcentral's name for it is "ATSL247910". Lineage: Eukaryota; Viridiplantae; Streptophyta; Magnoliopsida; Brassicales; Brassicaceae. The record is from RNAcentral.
GCUUCUUCUCUUCCUCG